RNAcentral lists this ribosomal RNA (128 nucleotides) under Theropithecus gelada (gelada). Lineage: Eukaryota; Metazoa; Chordata; Mammalia; Primates; Cercopithecidae. The record is from RNAcentral.
AGAAUACCUCCGUGACAGGGCCAAGGAGCGGUCAGGGUCCCAGGAUCUUGGGCCAUGGGCCCUGGAGCUAAGCAGGAUCGGGCCUGGUUAGUACUUGGAAGGGAGAUCACCUGGGAAUACCAGGUACU